RNAcentral lists this ribosomal RNA (216 nucleotides) under Triticum aestivum (bread wheat). RNAcentral's name for it is "partial small subunit ribosomal RNA". The record is from RNAcentral. Lineage: Eukaryota; Viridiplantae; Streptophyta; Magnoliopsida; Poales; Poaceae.
AUGGUCCUUGGUCGUGGACAUCGGAGGAAGGCGGUGUCUUCGCUUAUAAUGCUAGUCUCUUGGGAGGUUUGGAAAGAGAGAAAUGCGAGGGUUUUCCAGAAGAAAUCCUUAAUGCCUACCACGAUGCUAGAUGGCAUCAAGGUGGAGGCCAAGAAUUGGGUUUUGGCUGGGGCUAAACACUUGUUGAGGAGUCUUUUGUUUUUUCGCAUUUGUUGA